AGUACAAUAGUAGUAGUAAUUGUUGUUAAGACUAAGUUAGGUUAGAAAUGCGACAACAUAUCAUAAUUCAUAAUUAAUCUAACGUGACGCAAGUAACGGUUGUGGAGUGCAGUGAAAGAUGCAGGAGAUAAUAUGGUAUUGGUCCAUAUUUUAACAAGAAGUCUAUAAUAUAACAAAAGACAAAGCUGACUAAUGCCAAGAUUCAGCCAAGAAUUUGUCAAAAUGCACAUUCACAAGGAAAGAUUGGAGACCUAAACUGCUUUAUAUCUCAGAAGGUGAUAGUUGGGUUUAUGAAUACAUAAAGAUGGCCUAAUCAACAGAUCAACAACUUAUAUUUACUGUUCAUGCUUACGAUAUAAUAUCGAAACUAAAAGCUAACAUCAAAAUCAAAAGCUCAAAGAGAUAUAUGUAAAGUUUGUA
Molecule: long non-coding RNA, 420 nt
Organism: Vespula pensylvanica (western yellowjacket)
Lineage: Eukaryota; Metazoa; Arthropoda; Insecta; Hymenoptera; Vespidae
Exons: 3
Source: RefSeq, a predicted model, not a curated record